This 40-nucleotide small nuclear RNA is filed under the name Cervus elaphus hippelaphus. It matches the Rfam family "U2 spliceosomal RNA", at positions 1 to 40 of the family's 192-position model. From Rfam's summary of the family: U2 is a small nuclear RNA (snRNA) component of the spliceosome (involved in pre-mRNA splicing). Complementary binding between U2 snRNA (in an area lying towards the 5' end but 3' to hairpin I) and the branchpoint sequence (BPS) of the intron results the bulging out of an unpaired adenosine, on the BPS, which initiates a nucleophilic attack at the intronic 5' splice site, thus starting the first of two transesterification reactions that mediate splicing. Lineage: Eukaryota; Metazoa; Chordata; Mammalia; Artiodactyla; Cervidae. RNAcentral also lists the same sequence under 3 other names. The record is from RNAcentral.
AUCGCUUCUCGGCCUUUUGGCUAAGAUCAAGUGUAGUAUC